UGGAUGACUCUCGGCAACGGAUAUCUCGGCUCUCGCAUCUAUGAAAAAAGUAGCGAAAUGCGAUACCUGGUGUGAAUUGCANAAUCCCGUGAACCCUCGAGUCUUUGAACGCAAGUUGCGCCCGAGGCCCUCCGGCUAAGGGCACGCCUGCCUGGGCGUCACGC
This 164-nucleotide ribosomal RNA is filed under the name Musa ABB Group. RNAcentral's name for it is "5.8S ribosomal RNA". It matches the Rfam family "5.8S ribosomal RNA". Rfam says of the family: 5.8S ribosomal RNA (5.8S rRNA) is a component of the large subunit of the eukaryotic ribosome. It is transcribed by RNA polymerase I as part of the 45S precursor that also contains 18S and 28S rRNA. Functionally, it is thought that 5.8S rRNA may be involved in ribosome translocation. Lineage: Eukaryota; Viridiplantae; Streptophyta; Magnoliopsida; Zingiberales; Musaceae. The record is from RNAcentral.